This 498-nucleotide ribosomal RNA is filed under the name uncultured bacterium. Its description in RNAcentral is "partial 16S ribosomal RNA". It matches the Rfam family "Bacterial small subunit ribosomal RNA", at positions 30 to 523 of the family's 1533-position model. The record is from RNAcentral.
AUUGAACGCUGGCGGCAUGCCUUACACAUGCAAGUCGAACGGUAACAGGUCUUCGGAUGCUGACGAGUGGCGAACGGGUGAGUAAUACAUCGGAACGUGCCUAGUAGUGGGGGAUAACUACUCGAAAGAGUGGCUAAUACCGCAUGAGAUCUACGGAUGAAAGCAGGGGAUCGCAAGACCUUGUGCUACUAGAGCGGCCGAUGGCAGAUUAGGUAGUUGGUGGGAUAAAAGCUUACCAAGCCGACGAUCCGUAGCUGGUCUGAGAGGACGAUCCGCCACACUGGGACUGAGACACGGCCCCGACUCCUACGGGAGGCAGAAGUGGGGAAUGUUGGGCAAUGGGCGCAAGCCUGAUCCAGCAAUGCCGCGUGCAGGAUGAAGGCCUUCGGGUUGUAAACUGCUUUUGUACGGAACGAAAAGCCCCGGGUUAAUACCCUGGGGUCAUGACGGUACCGUAAGAAUAAGCACCGGCUAACUACGUGCCAGCCGCCGCCGUAA